RNAcentral lists this ribosomal RNA (450 nucleotides) under uncultured bacterium. RNAcentral's name for it is "bacterial SSU rRNA". It matches the Rfam family "Bacterial small subunit ribosomal RNA", at positions 29 to 524 of the family's 1533-position model. The record is from RNAcentral.
AACGAACGCUGGCGGCAGGCCUAACACAUGCAAGUCGAACGCACCGCAAGGUGAGUGGCGCACGGGUGAGUAACACGUGGGAAUGUACCCUUUGGUUCGGAAUAACGUUUGGAAACGAACGCUAAUACCGGAUGAGCCCUGUGGGGGAAAGAUUUAUCGCCAAAGGAGCAGCCCGCGUCUGAUUAGCUAGUUGGUGGGGUAAAGGCCUACCAAGGCGACGAUCAGUAGCUGGUCUGAGAGGAUGAUCAGCCACACUGGGACUGAGACACGGCCCAGACUCCUACGGGAGGCAGCAGUGGGGAAUAUUGGACAAUGGGCGGAAGCCUGAUCCAGCCAUGCCGCGUGAGUGAUGAAGGCCUUCGGGUUGUUAAAGGCUCUUUCGCACGCGACGAUGAUGACGGUAGCGUGAGAAGAAGCCCCGGCUAACUUCGUGCCAGCAGCCGCGGUAAU